GAUGAACGCUGGCGGCGUGCUUAACACAUGCAAGUCGAACGAAGCACUUUAUUUGAUUUCCUUCGGGACUGAUUAUUUUGUGACUGAGUGGCGGACGGGUGAGUAACGCGUGGGUAACCUGCCUUGUACAGGGGGAUAACAGUUGGAAACGGCUGCUAAUACCGCAUAAGCGCACAGCAUCGCAUGAUGCAGUGUGAAAAACUCCGGUGGUAUAAGAUGGACCCGCGUUGGAUUAGCUAGUUGGUGAGGUAACGGCCCACCAAGGCGACGAUCCAUAGCCGACCUGAGAGGGUGACCGGCCACAUUGGGACUGAGACACGGCCCAAACUCCUACGGGAGGCAGCAGUGGGGAAUAUUGCACAAUGGGCGAAAGCCUGAUGCAGCGACGCCGCGUGAGCGAAGAAGUAUUUCGGUAUGUAAAGCUCUAUCAGAAGGGAAGAUAAUGACGGUACCUGACUAAGAAGCACCGGCUAAAUACGUG
RNAcentral lists this ribosomal RNA (481 nucleotides) under uncultured bacterium. RNAcentral describes it as "partial 16S ribosomal RNA". It matches the Rfam family "Bacterial small subunit ribosomal RNA", at positions 28 to 507 of the family's 1533-position model. The record is from RNAcentral.